UACGAGUGCCCCAAGCGUUAUCCGGAAUCAUUGGGCGUAAAGGGUGUGUAGGCGGAUUAGUUAGUCUUCUGUCAAAAUCUCGGGCUCAACCCGAGACCUGCAGGGGAAACGGCUAGUCUGGAGGAUGCGAGAGGUGAAUGGAACUCAUGGUGUAGGGGUGAAAUCCGUUGAUAUCAUGGGGAACACCGAAAGCGAAGGCAAUUCACUGGCGCAUUCCUGACGCUGAAACACGAAAGCGUGGGUAGCGAACGGG
This 253-nucleotide unclassified non-coding RNA is filed under the name uncultured Parcubacteria group bacterium. RNAcentral describes it as "contains 16S-23S intergenic spacer region". It matches the Rfam family "Bacterial small subunit ribosomal RNA", at positions 524 to 776 of the family's 1533-position model. The record is from RNAcentral.